CCUCUUCGUGCCGGACACCGCGGCCGCCACCGAGGCGCUGCUGCGCCACGUGCCCGUCGACGCCGGCCAAAUGCUGGUCGGCCUCUCCGACGCACACACCGAGGGAGUGUUUGUCACUGAUGCGGAUGAGCGUCUGUCGGACAUGGAGUUCCACGAGUGGCUACCCGGGCAGCCGGACGACGGGGGCGGCGGAGGCGCCGGCGAGGACUGCGUGGCGCUGCACUCGCACGGCUUCCUGGCCGACGUGUCCUGCGAGCUGCCGCUGCGCUACGUCUGCGAGUGGCUGCCGUGACCACCGUGUCUGCUUCGCCACCAGCCAGACAUCGCCUCUCACAGCCGCGCACAAAUGAUAUCUCAGGAUGGACCUUACACUUUUCUCACGAAGGAAGCGUCUUCGGUUUAUCCAACACAUUUCGGUGGAGAAACAACGAGCUGUUCGAAAUAGUCUUACAGAUAAAUAAUACGCAAGAAUUCUCAGCGUUGAGCCGAGCUGUAAAUAAUUAAGACACAUGAACUCUAGAACCACUAGUCAAGUAUGGCCCCCUUACACAGAAGCAUACGCACUCGACUCGUGCGCAAAGCAGAGAUAAGGAGUGGGCGUAUGGUGGAGAAAGACGGAGACCAAGGUGGAAAUAAAGUCUGUAAAGGCAUGAAAAGACAA
This is a long non-coding RNA of Schistocerca americana (American grasshopper), 661 nucleotides long. RefSeq lists it as uncharacterized. NCBI's taxonomy places the organism in Eukaryota, Metazoa, Arthropoda, Insecta, Orthoptera, Acrididae. The transcript has 2 exons. The record is from RefSeq and is a predicted model, not a curated record.